GAUGAAGAACGUAGCGAACGUGCGAAACGUAAUGUGAAUUGCAGAAUUCAGUGAAUCAUCGAAUCUUUGAACGCAUCUUGCGCUCCUUGGCAUUCCGAGGAGCAUGCCUGUUUGAGUGUCGUGAAUACUCUCAACUUCAACCCUUUUUUCGGAAAGGGAGGAAGGUUGGACUUGGGUGUUUGUUGAAGUGCGAGCUUCGACUCAUCCUAAAUGCAUUAGCGAUCUGCCUCGAUCACACACAAUGUGAUAAUUAAAACUAAAGCAUUGUUUAAUGAUCAAGUCGAGACUGCUUCUAACUGUCGCAAGACAAUAACGUGCAUACAUUUGUGCAUGUCAUUUGACCUCAAAUCAGGUAGGACUACCCGCUGAACUUAAGCAUAUCAAUAAGCGGAGGA
Molecule: unclassified non-coding RNA, 395 nt
Filed under: soil metagenome
Description: partial contains 5.8S ribosomal RNA, internal transcribed spacer 2, and large subunit ribosomal RNA
Rfam family: 5.8S ribosomal RNA (bases 1-121)
Source: RNAcentral